CGGAGCGACGCCGCGUGGUGGAUGAAGGCCCUCGGGUUGUAACACCUGUCGUAGGGGAGGAAAUUUUGACCGAUCCUAGGAGGAAGCACAGGCUAAGUUCGUGCCAGCAGCCGCGGUAAUACGAACUGUGCAAACGUUAUUCGGAAUCACUGGGCUUAAAGGGUGCGUAGGCGGAUUUGUAGGUCAGAUGUGAAAUCCCACGGCUCAACCGUGGAACUGCGUUUGAAACCACAAGUCUUGAGGGGAUCAGAGGAGAGCGGAACUGAUGGUGGAGCGGUGAAAUGCGUUGAUAUCAUCAGGAACACCGGUGGCGAAAGCGGCUCUCUGGGAUCUUUCUGACGCUGAGGCACGAAAGCUAGGGGAGCGAACGGGAUUAGAUACCCCGGUAGUCCUAGCUGUAAACGAUCUGUACUAGUCCGUGGGGGCUCCCACACCUUCUCGGACGUAGCGAAAGUGUUAAGUACAGCGCCUGGGGAGUAUGGUCGCAAGGCUGAAACUCAAAGGAAUUGACGGGGCCUUCACACAAAAAU
Molecule: ribosomal RNA, 530 nt
Filed under: uncultured Planctomycetota bacterium
Lineage: Bacteria; Pseudomonadati; Planctomycetota
Description: bacterial SSU rRNA
Rfam family: Bacterial small subunit ribosomal RNA
Source: RNAcentral